This 200-nucleotide ribosomal RNA is filed under the name uncultured bacterium. RNAcentral describes it as "partial 16S ribosomal RNA". It matches the Rfam family "Bacterial small subunit ribosomal RNA", at positions 29 to 256 of the family's 1533-position model. The record is from RNAcentral.
AACGAACGCUGGCGGCAUGCCUAAUACAUGCAAGUCGAACGAGACCUUCGGGUCUAGUGGCGCACGGGUGCGUAACGCGUGGGAAUCUGCCCUUGGGUUCGGAAUAACAGUUGGAAACGACUGCUAAUACCGGAUGAUGACGAAAGUCCAAAGAUUUAUCGCCCAGGGAUGAGCCCACGUAGGAUUAGCUAGUUGGUGAG